RNAcentral lists this small RNA (123 nucleotides) under Marmota monax (woodchuck). Lineage: Eukaryota; Metazoa; Chordata; Mammalia; Rodentia; Sciuridae. The record is from RNAcentral.
GCUGGGUGUGGUGGUGCACACCUGUAAUCCCAGUGACUCCAGAGGUUGAGGUAGGAGGAUCACAAGUUUAAGGCCAGCCUUAGCAACUUAACAAGGCUUUCAGCAACAGUGAGACUGUCUCAA